CGUCCCCGACUCGCCCCCACGCCCGUGCUAAUCCUCGUCCGCGGCGGUUCGGCGGCGGCGCUCCGUGAAGAGGGGCGGGGGCAGCGAGGAUGGAGGCGGAGGAGGAGUCUGUGGGGAAGGAGUGGGGCUGGGACGGGAACGGGGAAGAAGAGGGACGGGCGUGGGGACGGGGAGGAAAAGGGGCAGCGAGGGUCGAGGCGGAGGAGGAGUCCACCGGGGGCGGGGAUGGGGAGGAAGAGGGGCCGCGAGGGUGGAGGCGGAGGACAAGUCCGCGGGGAGGGAUAAGGGCGGGGCGGGGAUGGGAAGGAAGAGGGGCGGCGAGGGAGGAGACGGAGGAGGAGACCGCGGGCGCUGUGGGGCGAGAUGGAGGAGGAGUGCCUCGCCACGGCAAGCGCCGCCAGCAAUGCCAUGGCCAUGAUGCAGCGCCUGCAGAAGGAGAAGGCCGAGGUCUAGAUGGAGCUUGACGCCGAGAUCGACCACCGGGACUCGCCGCUAUCGGUCACCAGCGAUGACCUUAGGCCCUUACCAUGGCUAGGGUUUCGGGCGCGUCCACACUGGCGUGGCUCCCGCGCCUCCAGCGGCUCUUCUCCGACGCCCACCGCGCCCUCACACGCAGCUCCCAUCUCUAGGAAGCUGCUCCUUCGCCUGGUGCCCAUGUGGUGAGUUCAUCCCCUCCCCUAUCUCUCCCCCUUUCUCUCUCUAAUAUCUGGUUUGUUCCUCACACUGGCGUGGCUCCCGCGCCUCCAGCGGCUCCUCUCCGACGCCCACCGCGCCCUCACACGCAGCUCCCAUCUCUAGGAAGCUGCUCCUUCGCCUGGUGCCCAUGUGAUGUGCAGGGCAAGGAUUGGAUGCUUGAGGAAGGAGGGGUCGCCCUUGCCUUGCUGCAGCUCGGGGCGCACCACCCAUGGCGCUUCCUCCUUUCUGUCUUCAGUUGAGUUCACCUCCUCCUCUCUCUGCUCUUGUACGUGGCCAUUGAGGCAUUGCUCUUGGUUAGGAUUUACCACAGUUUGGGCUCAAUUGGCUACUAUUUGAGGUCAAUUUUGUUGAUACUGUUAAGUGUAGAUUGUUCCUUGAAUUGAACAGCAAGGUUAACCAUGAAUUUGUUAGUUGAAUUGAUGCCUGACUAAACUGCAGUUGUUAGUUGAAUUGUUCAAUCUUCAAUUUAGGGAGCUGCUACUGAAAGAUGAAAAAAAUUUGGUACUGUUUGAGGUCCCUGUGCCUCCCGUGCUCAUGAACUUGCUUCUGUUUGAGCUCAAUUUUUUGGUACGGUUUAUGUGUUAAUUGAUCCAUGUUGUGUUGCAUCCCACCCUCCCCUUCGGUGACGGCAGCCAACGCUUGCAUCGGAGGAGCUGUUGCUGUGCUUCCUUCUCUGAUUUUUCAGGGUCAAAGUCAUUAUGUUCACCAUGAUGCAGAUUGCCAUCACAUUCAGACCCAAAGAUCUGGGAACUAUGAACUUGAUUAAAAGGGCAGGGUCAAAUUCAAGACCCGGGUUAGUGGCGACUAUGAUGGUCGCCUGCAGGCUAUGGGUCUAGCAACAUUGCAGGCAGCAGUGUGCAGCGUUUUACGGUAGGGCGUGUGGCCAGUGCUGUCGGGCUCGCGGCGGCUGCAGAUGGUGGAGUACCGGACUUGUGGUGGGCGCCCAUUCACAAGAUCUACAACAUCAUCUUUGCGUCAGUUCUCCAUGAAGGCCAUCCUGCGAUACAAGGUUGCGUCUUCCUGCUAUUUGGGUGACGACGCCGAGCCUGUCGGCCUAUGCCCAUCGCUUCUGAUGUGGUAAUGUGGCGGUCGUUGUUGUUUGCCUGCAGAGGCUGUGGAGAGGUGGGACUUGCAGAGUAUAUGUAGCAGAAAGGAUCCAAGUAUUGGAGCCAAACAACUGUCUAUGCUACCACAUCAAGGUGGGUUGAGGCAAACAGAGUGAGGACAGGAAUAUACAGUAGCAGAAAGACCAAGCAGCCUGGUAGCUCUUUCAUUGAACUAGAUGGAUGCGUGCAUGAGUUCUUUGCAGAGAACGAGUCACAUUUUGAAACUGAAGCUAUAUACAACACUGUUUUAGGGAUUAAUGAACUGUUAGUAGCAGAGUCCUUCCUGAUGUGAAAGCUAAUACAUUUCUAUGGUAACCAUACCUCAGUACCUAUGAUUCAAUAAUCUUCUUUUUGUGAAAUGAUGAAACCCGAAGUAUUUCUAUGUAUUUGCAUUUCUCUCUGAGGCGGGAAGUUUAUUUUCCAGACAUUUAUGUAAUGAGCCACUUAAUGUGCAACUGAGUGCACAUUGUUAUCAAAAUUUUAUUGGUCUAUCUGAGAUGUUUCCUUCUGGUAUUGCAAUUUAUGCUAGGUAAUACCCACAAUUUUUGCUGUGAUGUUACUACGUCAGAAAAUUAGCUGUCCACUGCGUCACUUAUUUGUUCUUCUCUCAUGUUCUUGUCUGACAGUUAUAUUUUUACUCCGAACUUACUAACCCAGCUUUGGUUUCUCUGGCUUAAACUAAUCUGGGAGCAGGGUAUCAUGUGCCCGCUCACCUAUUGGUGCGGCUGGUGGAUACAGAGAGAUCAACGAUGAGGAGACCCUCGUCGUUCUUCUGAUUGCAGCCAGUUGCGUGAUGUGAUGGCGGAGUUGUUCUGCAACCGCCUAGGGGCCAUGGACGAUGGAGAACUUCCUAACGCAGUAUGCGAGCGGGGACGAUGGAGAACUUCCUGGCGCAGUGUGCGCGCGAGUGGGUUUCAGGACAGUUCAUGAUACAAGGUCAAGCUCAGCUUGGUGUAAGUUCCAAAUAUAUAUUGUGCCUCAGUUUGAGUUGCAUCCACAAGCAGCUCUCACUAAUUCCAAUACACCUUAAAUUGAUUUGGAUCAUUAGUGUUGGACUGUGGACAUAUAUCUAUAUCCGAUUGUACUCCGGGUGUUUUCAAUUCUGAAAUAUUUUUUGGCAAUUUGAUUCUGAAAUUUUAGCUUGAUGUUGAGAAAACGAGCAAAUUUUGUGGUGCACUUGGAUCAGGUUUUAUGCUUACAGUUUCAAGGGGAAACAUUCGGGGUUGUGAUCCAAGUAUAUGAAAUCAGUUUAUCUAAAUUGAGUUGUCGACAGUACAUCCUCUAAAUUAGCUUAUCUGAAAUCAGUUUGUUUUUAUUAAUUGUUGCGCAGGGGGCAUGAUAGCCAUGGCCAACUUUGAGCCCAGCAUCAAGUUGGAAAGCUUUAUCUGAGAUGUGUUUUUUAGCUAUGCCCUUUUAUGUCUUAGUUUGGUCUCUGAAUUUUUGGGCGGCGCUUAUCAUUUAAGAUCAACACAGCAUUUUGCUUCAUUUGUGCUUCAAAGAAAGCUGCUGCAUAGGGACAUUUGAUGUGGUGGAUUUCAGAGAAUCAUUUUAGGGUAUUGCAUUCCGUUCAGAAAUUUUGACAUUUGGACAGUGUGUACAAUUGAAAGGAAUAGCUGGAUAUGAGUUAUGUAGGUUCAACGUUUCAACUUUUUGACAAUUUUUUAUGUUUAUCCUGGCAGAAAAGUGGAGCAGCUGUGUGAAGAGGUUGCUUAAUUGAAGGGAAUCAUCGAGAAGAUGUUACUAUCUUUGAUGCAUAAAAAUAAUUUUGGAGGAUGCAUGGAUCAAAGAGAUUAUGGAUUACCACAAGCUUAUGUGUAUCCAUUGGAGUUAUCUGUGUAUUAGAAUAUGGAUACACGUGUAACUAUAGCUUCAUUGCCCACCUAUUUUUGAUUUUUAUGCAGUUUUUAUUGCUUAAAAUUUUAUAUUAAUCUUCUUCCGUUGCAAUGCAUGGGUAUUUUUGCUAGCC
RNA transcript from Triticum aestivum (bread wheat), 3768 nucleotides. RefSeq lists it as uncharacterized. Lineage: Eukaryota; Viridiplantae; Streptophyta; Magnoliopsida; Poales; Poaceae. The record is from RefSeq and is a predicted model, not a curated record. The transcript has 2 exons.